GGGGCCUACGGGAGGCAGCAGUAGGGAAUCUUCCGCAAUGGACGAAAGUCUGACGGAGCAACGCCGCGUGAGUGAUGAAGGCUUUCGGGUCGUAAAACUCUGUUGUUAGGGAAGAACAAGUGCUAGUUGAAUAAGCUGGCACCUUGACGGUACCUAACCAGAAAGCCACGGCUAACUACGUGCCAGCAGCCGCGGUAAUACAA
RNAcentral lists this ribosomal RNA (203 nucleotides) under Bacillus sp. UM-CS3. Its description in RNAcentral is "partial 16S rRNA". It matches the Rfam family "Bacterial small subunit ribosomal RNA", at positions 334 to 528 of the family's 1533-position model. Lineage: Bacteria; Bacillati; Bacillota; Bacilli; Caryophanales; Bacillaceae. The record is from RNAcentral.